RNAcentral lists this ribosomal RNA (2347 nucleotides) under gut metagenome. RNAcentral's name for it is "bacterial LSU rRNA". It matches the Rfam family "Bacterial large subunit ribosomal RNA", at positions 308 to 2639 of the family's 2925-position model. The record is from RNAcentral.
CCCGGCGGGCAUCCAUCCAGGGGAGCCGAACGGCAUGGGAAGGCCGGCGGCACAGGGUUAGGGCCCCGUAGGCGCACCCUGGGAUGGAGCCCGGUGGAGGUACCUGAGUAGGGCCGGGCACGUGAAACCCGGUCCGAACCCGGGGGGACCACCCUCCAAGCCUGAAUACUCCCAUGUGACCGAUAGCGCACCAGUACCGUGAGGGAAAGGUGAAAAGCACCCCGGGAGGGGAGUGAAACAGUACCUGAAACCGUGCGCCCGCAAGGCGUCGGAGCGGGCUUCGUCCCGUGACGGCGUGCCUUUUGUAGAAUGAGCCAGCGAGUUGCUGGCACGCGGCGAGGUUAAGCUGGGAAGCGAGCCGGAGCGAAAGCGAGUCCGAAACGGGCGAUUCCAGUCGCGUGCCGCAGACGCGAAGCCGGGUGAGCUAUCCCUGGGCAGGCUGAAGCGGGGGUAAGACCCCGUGGAGGGCCGAACGGACGUACGUUGAAAAGUGCGCCGAUGACCUGGGGAUAGGGGUGAAAGGCCUAUCAAACCCGGAGAUAUCUCGUUCUCCCCGAAAUAGCUUUAGGGCUAGCGUCGAGAGUUAACCGCCGGAGGUAGAGCACCGGAUCGAUGAGGGGGCUUCGCCGCCUACCGAUUCGAACCGAACUCCGAAUGCCGGUCGGUCCAUAUCUCGGCAGUCAGAGCAUGUGGGCUAAGCUGUGUGCUCGAGAGGGAAACAGCCCAGACCGCCCGCUAAGGCCCCCAAUUCUCAGUUAAGUGGCAAAGGAUGUGCGUCCGCGCAGACAACCAGGAGGUUGGCUUAGAAGCAGCCACCCCUUCAAAGAGUGCGUAACAGCUCACUGGUCGAGUGGACAUGCGCCGACAAUACACGGGGCUAAACUGAGAGCCGAAGCGGCGGCAAUGAGAUUUCAUUGGGUAGGGGAGCGUCCCCAGCGGGGCGAAGCCGGAGGGUCACCGACGGUGGACUGCUGGGGAGUGAGAAUGCUGGCAUGAGUAGCGAGAGACGAGAGAGUAACUCGUCCGCCGUAAACCCGAGGUUUCCUGGGCGAGGCUAAUCCUCCCAGGGUCAGUCGGGGGCUAAGCCGAGGGCGGAAGCCGUAGGCGACGCGCAGCAGGUGGACAUUCCUGCACCGGAGAUGCACCGUCACGACCGACGGGGCGACGGAUUGGGGUGGCUCGGCGGGGUUCUGGACGUCCCCGUGAUGGAGCGCGGCCCGGAGACCAGGCAAAUCCGGUCUCCGCGAGGGCGAGGCUCCGGACGAAGCGACUGAGCGAAGCGAGUGAGCCCGUGGUCCCCAGAAAAACCCCUAGGCAGGGGCAUCUCCGCCCGUACCGCAAACCGACACAGGUGGGUGGGUAGAACAUACCGAGGCGAUCGGGUCAACCAUGGUCAAGGAACUCGGCAAAAUGGCCCCGUAACUUCGGGAGAAGGGGCGCCGGCGCGUACGUGGACCCACUUGCUGGGCGAGCGGAGGCCGGCCGCAGUGAAGAGGCCCAAUCGACUGUUUACCAAAAACACAGGACUCUGCAGAAGGCGAGAGCCGACGUAUAGGGUCUGACGCCUGCCCGGUGCCGGAAGGUCACGCGGAGGGGUUAGCGCGAGCGAAGCCCCGAAGCCAAGCCCCGGUAAACGGCGGCCGUAACUAUAACGGUCCUAAGGUAGCGAAAUUCCUUGUCGGGUAAGUUCCGACCUGCACGAAAGGCGCAACGAAUUGGGCGCUGUCUCGACCAUGGACCCGGUGAAAUUCCACUAGUCGUGAAGAUGCGACUUACCCGCGGAAGGACGGAAAGACCCCGUGAACCUUCACUGCAGCUUGGCAUUGGCCGCUGGCCCGUCGCGUAGAGGAUAGGCGGGAGGCUUCGAAGCCCGGGCGCCAGCCCGGGUGGAGCCGACCUUGGAAUACCGCCCUCGGCGCGCCGGCGUCCUAACCCCAUGCCGUCAUCCGGAUGGGGGACCGUGCCAGGUGGGUAGUUUGACUGGGGCGGUCGCCUCCUAAAGGGUAACGGAGGCGCGCGAAGGUCCGCUCGGGACGGUCGGCAACCGUCCUCUCGAGUGCAAGAGCAUAAGCGGGCUUGACUGCGAGGCCUACAAGCCGAGCAGGUGCGAAAGCAGGCUCUAGUGAUCCGGCGGCCCCGCGUGGGUGGGCCGUCGCUCAACGGAUAAAAGGUACUCCGGGGAUAACAGGCUGAUCUUGCCCAAGAGUCCACAUCGACGGCAAGGUUUGGCACCUCGAUGUCGGCUCAUCGCAUCCUGGGGCUGGAGCAGGUCCCAAGGGUACGGCUGUUCGCCGUUUAAAGCGGUACGCGAGCUGGGUUCAGAACGUCGUGAGACAGUUCGGUCCCU